UACGUAGGAGACGAGCGUUGUCCGGAAUUACUGGGCGUAAAGCGCGUGUAGGCGGAUGGGCAAGUCUGCUGUGAAAGCUCCUGGCUUAACCGGGAGUAGUCGGUGGAAACUGCCAAUCUGGAGGACGGUAGAGGUAGGUAGAAUUCCCGGUGUAGUGGUGAAAUGCGUAGAGAUCGGGAGGAAUACCUGUGGCGAAGGCGGCCUACUGGGCCGGACCUGACGCUGAGACGCGAAGGCGUGGGGAGCGAACGGG
RNAcentral lists this ribosomal RNA (253 nucleotides) under uncultured bacterium. Its description in RNAcentral is "partial 16S ribosomal RNA". It matches the Rfam family "Bacterial small subunit ribosomal RNA", at positions 524 to 776 of the family's 1533-position model. The record is from RNAcentral.